RNAcentral lists this ribosomal RNA (425 nucleotides) under uncultured bacterium. RNAcentral describes it as "partial 16S ribosomal RNA". It matches the Rfam family "Bacterial small subunit ribosomal RNA", at positions 354 to 796 of the family's 1533-position model. The record is from RNAcentral.
GUGGGGAAUCUUGCGCAAUGGGCGAAAGCCUGACGCAGCCAUGCCGCGUGAAUGAUGAAGGUCUUAGGAUUGUAAAAUUCUUUCACCGGGGACGAUAAUGACGGUACCCGGAGAAGAAGCCCCGGCUAACUUCGUGCCAGCAGCCGCGGUAAUACAAAGGGGGCUAGCGUUGCUCGGAAUUAAUGGUCGUAAAGGGAGCGUAGGCGGACUGUUUAGUCAGAGGUGAAAGCCCAGGGCUCAACCUUGGAAUUGCCUUUGAUACUGGCAGUCUUGAGUACGGGAGAGGUGUGUGGAACUCCGAGUGUAGAGGUGAAAUUCGUAGAUAUUCGGAAGAACACCAGUGGCGAAGGCGACACACUGGCCCGUUACUGACGCUGAGGCUCGAAAGCGUGGGGAGCAAACAGGAUUAGAUACCCCGGUAGUCC